RNAcentral lists this ribosomal RNA (146 nucleotides) under Ochrophyta sp. RNAcentral's name for it is "partial small subunit ribosomal RNA". It matches the Rfam family "Eukaryotic small subunit ribosomal RNA", at positions 1296 to 1460 of the family's 1831-position model. The record is from RNAcentral.
AGUUGGUGGAGUGAUUUGUCUGGUUAAUUCCGUUAACGAACGAGACCCCUGCCUGCUAAAUAGUUCCGUCAAUGAAUCUUCAUUGACGAGAGCUUCUUAGAGGGACGUUCAAGGACUACUUGAAGGAAGAGAGGGGCAAUAACAGG